Molecule: ribosomal RNA, 459 nt
Filed under: uncultured archaeon
Lineage: Archaea
Description: bacterial SSU rRNA
Rfam family: Archaeal small subunit ribosomal RNA
Source: RNAcentral
GCGGUAAUACUGACAGAACGAGUGGUGCCCACGAAUAUUGGGUCUAAAGAGACCGUAGCUGGCCUGUUAAGUCCACUGUGAAAUCUUGGGGCUCAACCUCAAGGCGUGCAGUGGAUACUGGCAGGCUUGAGAGCGGGGGAGGUCAGGGGUACUUACGGGGUAUGAGUAAAAUCAGUUGAUCCUGUAAGGACCACCAGUGGCGAAGGCGCCUGACCAAAACGCGUCUGACAGUGAGGGUCGAAGGCUAGGAGAACGAAUCGGAUUAGAUACCCGAGUAGCCCUAGCAGUAAAUUAUGCAGACUGUGGUGUUGCUGUGGCUUCGGGCCACAGCAGUGCUGUAGCGUAGGUGUUAAGUCUGCCACCUGGGGAGUACGGCCGCAAGGUUGAAACUUAAAGGAAUUGGCGGGGGAGCACCACAAGGGGUGGAUGCUGCGGUUCAAUUGGAUUCAACGCCGGGAA